RNAcentral lists this ribosomal RNA (253 nucleotides) under uncultured bacterium. Its description in RNAcentral is "partial 16S ribosomal RNA". It matches the Rfam family "Bacterial small subunit ribosomal RNA", at positions 524 to 776 of the family's 1533-position model. The record is from RNAcentral.
UACGGAGGAUGCAAGCGUUAUCCGGAUUCAUUGGGUUUAAAGGGUGCGUAGGCGGCUUUUUAAGUCAGUGGUGAAAUCUUGCCGCUUAACGGUAAAAUUGCCAUUGAUACUGAAAAGCUUGAGUACAUUUGAGGUAAGCGGAAUGUGUAGUGUAGCGGUGAAAUGCUUAGAUAUUACACAGAACACCAAUUGCGAAGGCAGCUUACUAAACUGAUACUGACGCUGAUGCACGAAAGCGUGGGGAGCGAACAGG